RNAcentral lists this ribosomal RNA (497 nucleotides) under uncultured bacterium. Its description in RNAcentral is "partial 16S ribosomal RNA". It matches the Rfam family "Bacterial small subunit ribosomal RNA", at positions 28 to 507 of the family's 1533-position model. The record is from RNAcentral.
GAUGAACGCUGGCGGCGUGCCUAAUACAUGCAAGUCGAGCGAACAGACGAGGAGCUUGCUCCUCUGACGUUAGCGGCGGACGGGUGAGUAACACGUGGAUAACCUACCUAUAAGACUGGGAUAACUUCGGGAAACCGGAGCUAAUACCGGAUAAUAUAUUGAACCGCAUGGUUCAAUAGUGAAAGACGGUUUUGCUGUCACUUAUAGAUGGAUCCGCGCCGCAUUAGCUAGUUGGUAAGGUAACGGCUUACCAAGGAAACGAUGCGUAGCGGACCUGAGAGGAGGAGCGGCCACAGGGAAAAUGAGACAAGGACCAGACUCAUACGGGAGGCAGCAGCGGGGAAUAUUGGUCAAUGGCCGCGAGCCUGAUCCUGCUAUACCGCGUGCGUGAAGAAGGCCUACGGGUUUUAAAGCUAAUUUGUUGGCAAAGACAAGCAGCCGGUCAAUACCCAGGUGUUCUGACGGUACCCAAAGAAUAAGCACCGGCUAACUUCGUG